Long non-coding RNA from Ipomoea nil (Japanese morning glory), 99 nucleotides. RefSeq lists it as uncharacterized. The record is from RefSeq and is a predicted model, not a curated record. Lineage: Eukaryota; Viridiplantae; Streptophyta; Magnoliopsida; Solanales; Convolvulaceae. The transcript has 3 exons.
GUGACAGUCUACUUUUAGUCCAUUUUUUUAGAACAUCCACUUUUAGUCAUAAUAUUAUUGUGGCAUGACCAUUUUUUGUUUUUUCUUAAUAAAACGGUU